ACUAAGCGUACACGGUGGAUGCCCUGGCAGUCAGAGGCGAUGAAGGACGUGCUAAUCUGCGAUAAGCGUCGGUAAGGUGAUAUGAACCGUUAUAACCGACGAUUUCCGAAUGGGGAAACCCAGUGUGAUUCGUCACACUAUCAUUACGUGAAUACAUAGCGUAAUGAAGCGAACCGGGGGAACUGAAACAUCUAAGUACCCCGAGGAAAAGAAAUCAACCGAGAUUCCCCCAGUAGCGGCGAGCGAACGGGGAGCAGCCCAGAGCCUGAAUCAG
This 274-nucleotide ribosomal RNA is filed under the name Kluyvera ascorbata. Its description in RNAcentral is "partial 23S ribosomal RNA". It matches the Rfam family "Bacterial large subunit ribosomal RNA", at positions 10 to 284 of the family's 2925-position model. The record is from RNAcentral. Lineage: Bacteria; Pseudomonadati; Pseudomonadota; Gammaproteobacteria; Enterobacterales; Enterobacteriaceae.